Molecule: ribosomal RNA, 174 nt
Filed under: uncultured bacterium
Lineage: Bacteria
Description: partial 16S ribosomal RNA
Rfam family: Bacterial small subunit ribosomal RNA
Source: RNAcentral
GCCGGAAUUGCUAGUAAUGGCAGGUCAGCAUACUGCCGUGAAUACGUUCCCGGGCCUUGUACACACCGCCCGUCACACCAUGAGAGUUGGGAAUACCCGAAGCCUGUGAGCUAACGAAAGAGGCAGCAGUCGAAGGUAGAAUCAAUGAUUGGGGUGAAGUCGUAACAAGGUAGC